This 1091-nucleotide ribosomal RNA is filed under the name uncultured bacterium. Its description in RNAcentral is "bacterial SSU rRNA". It matches the Rfam family "Bacterial small subunit ribosomal RNA", at positions 241 to 1346 of the family's 1533-position model. The record is from RNAcentral.
UCAGUUUGUUGGUGAGGUAAUGGCUCACCAAGACGAUGACGGGUAGCCGGCCUGAGAGGGCGACCGGCCACACUGGGACUGAGACACGGCCCAGACUCCUACGGGAGGCAGCAGUGGGGAAUAUUGCACAAUGGGCGAAAGCCUGAUGCAGCGACGCCGCGUGGGGGAUGACGGCCUUCGGGUUGUAAACCUCUUUCAGUAGGGAAGAAGCGAAAGUGACGGUACCUGCAGAAGAAGCGCCGGCUAACUACGUGCCAGCAGCCGCGGUAAUACGUAGGGCGCAAGCGUUGUCCGGAAUUAUUGGGCGUAAAGAGCUCGUAGGUGGCUUGUCGCGUCUGCCGUGAAAACCCGAGGCUCAACCUCGGGCGUGCGGUGGGUACGGGCAGGCUAGAGUGUGGUAGGGGAGACUGGAACUCCUGGUGUAGCGGUGAAAUGCGCAGAUAUCAGGAAGAACACCGAUGGCGAAGGCAGGUCUCUGGGCCAUUACUGACACUGAGGAGCGAAAGCAUGGGUAGCGAACAGGAUUAGAUACCCUGGUAGUCCAUGCCGUAAACGUUGGGCACUAGAUGUGGGGGACAUUCCACGUUUUCCGCGUCGUAGCUAACGCAUUAAGUGCCCCGCCUGGGGAGUACGGCCGCAAGGCUAAAACUCAAAGGAAUUGACGGGGGCCCGCACAAGCGGCGGAGCAUGCUGAUUAAUUCGAUGCAACGCGAAGAACCUUACCAAGGCUUGACAUGCACCGGACGGCCGCAGAGAUGUGGCUUUCUUCGGACUGGUGCACAGGUGGUGCAUGGUUGUCGUCAGCUCGUGUCGUGAGAUGUUGGGUUAAGUCCCGCAACGAGCGCAACCCUUGUUCUAUGUUGCCAGCACGUCAUGGUGGGGACUCAUAGGAGACUGCCGGGGUCAACUCGGAGGAAGGUGGGGACGACGUCAAAUCAUCAUGCCCCUUAUGUCUUGGGCUUCAAGCAUGCUACAAUGGUCGGUACAAUGGGUUGCGAAACUGUGAGGUGGAGCGAAUCCCAAAAAGCCGGCCUCAGUUCGGAUUGGGGUCUGCAACUCGACCCCAUGAAGUCGGAGUCGCUAGAAUCGCA